GCCCAAAGCAGAGCAUUGUCAGAAUACAGACUUUGUGGUCAGACAGUCCUAGGCUUGCAUCCUGGCUCUACCACUGCUUUGGGCAAGUUACCUGACCUCACUGAGCCUCAGUUUCUCCUCUGUGAAGUGGAGGUAAUGCUUUUCUUGAAGUAGUAUUACGCAGCU
This 165-nucleotide small nucleolar RNA is filed under the name Otolemur garnettii (small-eared galago). Its description in RNAcentral is "Small nucleolar RNA ACA59 (ENSOGAG00000023319.1)". The record is from RNAcentral. Lineage: Eukaryota; Metazoa; Chordata; Mammalia; Primates; Galagidae.